GUAGGUGGCAAGCGUUGUCCGGAGUUAUUGGGCGUAAAGCGCGCGCAGGUGGGUUCUUUAAGUCUGAUGUGAAAGCCCCCGGGCUCAACCGGGGAGGGUCAUUGGAAACUGGGGAACUUGAGUGCAGGAGAGGAAAGUGGAAUUCCACGUGUAGCGGUGAAAUGCGUAGAUAUGUGGAGGAACACCAGUGGCGAAGGCGACUUUCUGGCCUGUAACUGACACUGAGGCGCGAAAGCGUGGGGAGCAAACAGGAUUAGAUACCCUGGUAGUCCACGCCGUAAACGAUGAGUGCUAAGUGUUGGGGGGUUUCCGCCCCUCAGUGCUGCAGCUAACGCAUUAAGCACUCCGCCUGGGGAGUACGGUCGCAAGACUG
RNAcentral lists this ribosomal RNA (373 nucleotides) under uncultured organism. RNAcentral describes it as "partial 16S ribosomal RNA". It matches the Rfam family "Bacterial small subunit ribosomal RNA", at positions 527 to 896 of the family's 1533-position model. The record is from RNAcentral.